Molecule: ribosomal RNA, 1952 nt
Filed under: Escherichia coli
Lineage: Bacteria; Pseudomonadati; Pseudomonadota; Gammaproteobacteria; Enterobacterales; Enterobacteriaceae
Description: partial 23S ribosomal RNA
Rfam family: Bacterial large subunit ribosomal RNA
Source: RNAcentral
UGAAGAGGGAAACAACCCAGACCGCCAGCUAAGGUCCCAAAGUCAUGGUUAAGUGGGAAACGAUGUGGGAAGGCCCAGACAGCCAGGAUGUUGGCUUAGAAGCAGCCAUCAUUUAAAGAAAGCGUAAUAGCUCACUGGUCGAGUCGGCCUGCGCGGAAGAUGUAACGGGGCUAAACCAUGCACCGAAGCUGCGGCAGCGACACUGUGUGUUGUUGGGUAGGGGAGCGUUCUGUAAGCCUGUGAAGGUGUGCUGUGAGGCAUGCUGGAGGUAUCAGAAGUGCGAAUGCUGACAUAAGUAACGAUAAAGCGGGUGAAAAGCCCGCUCGCCGGAAGACCAAGGGUUCCUGUCCAACGUUAAUCGGGGCAGGGUGAGUCGACCCCUAAGGCGAGGCCGAAAGGCGUAGUCGAUGGGAAACAGGUUAAUAUUCCUGUACUUGGUGUUACUGCGAAGGGGGGACGGAGAAGGCUAUGUUGGCCGGGCGACGGUUGUCCCGGUUUAAGCGUGUAGGCUGGUUUUCCAGGCAAAUCCGGAAAAUCAAGGCUGAGGCGUGAUGACGAGGCACUACGGUGCUGAAGCAACAAAUGCCCUGCUUCCAGGAAAAGCCUCUAAGCAUCAGGUAACAUCAAAUCGUACCCCAAACCGACACAGGUGGUCAGGUAGAGAAUACCAAGGCGCUUGAGAGAACUCGGGUGAAGGAACUAGGCAAAAUGGUGCCGUAACUUCGGGAGAAGGCACGCUGAUAUGUAGGUGAAGUCCCUCGCGGAUGGAGCUGAAAUCAGUCGAAGAUACCAGCUGGCUGCAACUGUUUAUUAAAAACACAGCACUGUGCAAACACGAAAGUGGACGUAUACGGUGUGACGCCUGCCCGGUGCCGGAAGGUUAAUUGAUGGGGUCAGCGCAAGCGAAGCUCUUGAUCGAAGCCCCGGUAAACGGCGGCCGUAACUAUAACGGUCCUAAGGUAGCGAAAUUCCUUGUCGGGUAAGUUCCGACCUGCACGAAUGGCGUAAUGAUGGCCAGGCUGUCUCCACCCGAGACUCAGUGAAAUUGAACUCGCUGUGAAGAUGCAGUGUACCCGCGGCAAGACGGAAAGACCCCGUGAACCUUUACUAUAGCUUGACACUGAACAUUGAGCCUUGAUGUGUAGGAUAGGUGGGAGGCUUUGAAGUGUGGACGCCAGUCUGCAUGGAGCCGACCUUGAAAUACCACCCUUUAAUGUUUGAUGUUCUAACGUGGACCCGUGAUCCGGGUUGCGGACAGUGUCUGGUGGGUAGUUUGACUGGGGCGGUCUCCUCCUAAAGAGUAACGGAGGAGCACGAAGGUUGGCUAAUCCUGGUCGGACAUCAGGAGGUUAGUGCAAUGGCAUAAGCCAGCUUGACUGCGAGCGUGACGGCGCGAGCAGGUGCGAAAGCAGGUCAUAGUGAUCCGGUGGUUCUGAAUGGAAGGGCCAUCGCUCAACGGAUAAAAGGUACUCCGGGGAUAACAGGCUGAUACCGCCCAAGAGUUCAUAUCGACGGCGGUGUUUGGCACCUCGAUGUCGGCUCAUCACAUCCUGGGGCUGAAGUAGGUCCCAAGGGUAUGGCUGUUCGCCAUUUAAAGUGGUACGCGAGCUGGGUUUAGAACGUCGUGAGACAGUUCGGUCCCUAUCUGCCGUGGGCGCUGGAGAACUGAGGGGGGCUGCUCCUAGUACGAGAGGACCGGAGUGGACGCAUCACUGGUGUUCGGGUUGUCAUGCCAAUGGCACUGCCCGGUAGCUAAAUGCGGAAGAGAUAAGUGCUGAAAGCAUCUAAGCACGAAACUUGCCCCGAGAUGAGUUCUCCCUGACCCUUUAAGGGUCCUGAAGGAACGUUGAAGACGACGACGUUGAUAGGCCGGGUGUGUAAGCGCAGCGAUGCGUUGAGCUAACCGGUACUAAUGAACCGUGAGGCUUAACCUUACAACGCCGAAGGUGUUU